Molecule: unclassified non-coding RNA, 177 nt
Filed under: Mycoplasma haemocanis
Lineage: Bacteria; Bacillati; Mycoplasmatota; Mollicutes; Mycoplasmatales; Mycoplasmataceae
Description: partial ribonuclease P RNA
Rfam family: Bacterial RNase P class B
About the family: Ribonuclease P (RNase P) is a ubiquitous endoribonuclease, found in archaea, bacteria and eukarya as well as chloroplasts and mitochondria. Its best characterised activity is the generation of mature 5'-ends of tRNAs by cleaving the 5'-leader elements of precursor-tRNAs.
Source: RNAcentral
CGGCCUGCGAUGGUCGUAAUGUUGGUGCAAGCAUAUAAAAAAUAAAGCUUGACGCUCCUUAAGGGGUGAUGACGGGGAAUAGGAUAAGGCGAAAGCUACUACUUAUUCUCUAUAAAGUGCCACAGAGACGAGCUAUGCAGAAAUGCAUAGGUGAAACGCGGUAAACUCCUCCAGGAA